CUGCAGUUUCCAGCAAUUUCAGGCUUUCCUGUUCAACUGGCAGUCAAUGCCUCAGCAGCAAUCAACAUAAAAAUCAAAGGGAAUGCUGAUUUCAAACAACAGUCUGAUUUCUUUCUAAAUGGAUAUAUCAAGCCAAGUGCAUUUGUUCAGCUUUCUGUCCAAGUGGGAAUUGUGGGGACUCUGGGACAAGCUGGCCUAAAGUGGUUAACAGGAAUGAGGACAUCUACUAGUCUUGAUGGGGGAAUCCAGGUGAAGAAAGGGAAAGAACUCAAGGUUUUCUUGAACACUCCAGAAGAAUCUAUGGAGUUAAUUAAUUUCAGGUAAGAUUAAGCACAGGUAUCUUCAAAAACAGUAAUUGUUAAUUUUCUUGUAUAUAACUGACAAUUUUGUUUAAAUAUUUCUGUAACUCUAGCAUAAUUGUUUUUAAGUUUUUGUUCAAAAUUCUUGGUUGUAGCUCUAAACUCUACUUCAGAAUGGUGGAUGAGACAGAAGAUACAGAUGACUUCCAAGACAACACAGAAACCAGAUCUUGCACUAGGGAAGAAGUAUCUGAGAUUAUUGGCUGGCAACUGUGUUCUGAAAUGUCCUAUCCUGACCCAGCCAGUGGUUUGGUUUUGCCCCUCACCGGACCUUUGCUAGUGGCUGUGACAUUAACUAAGCAAGACAGAGGCCUGCAGCAGUACGUGGUGGAAGCUGCCUAUAACUACAUAGCUCAGGAGAAUUCAUGGAUCCCUAGUGAAGCUGUCUUUCACUUCUUCCUUGGGACUCCAAAGUCAGACUUGAAGAGAGAGAUUGGUGUUGACCUAAGUUUUAGUAUCCCACAGAAAAAAUUCAGAAUCCAAUUUAUACAACCUAAGAAAAAAAUUGAGAUUGAUGGGAGGAUUGAGUUUUCUAAAAAUUCUCAAGUUGGACACCUGGAGCUGAUAGUGGAUGACCGAGAUGUGUAUUACAUUAAGGGAAUGGCAGAUUUGCAGAUGCUGAGUGGAGAGCAGAAAUACAUGACCCAGCUGGAGGUAAAGCUGAUAAAGCAAAGCAGUCCUAUCAUUUUGUCAGGAAACAUCACUAAACAGCUUGGCAAGAAGAUAGCUGUUUCAGUAUCUCUGAAUAAUUUGUUGAAGGAUGCUGCAUUUCUU
This 1133-nucleotide long non-coding RNA is filed under the name Lonchura striata (white-rumped munia). RNAcentral describes it as "domestica (Bengalese finch) lncRNA (ENSLSDG00000001155.1)". Lineage: Eukaryota; Metazoa; Chordata; Aves; Passeriformes; Estrildidae. The record is from RNAcentral.